UAUAUUUUAUUCUUGCGCCGGGUAUUUAAUGUUCGGCUCCACCCGAACUUAGACUUUCUUACUUGUUAUCGAUGAAAGCUCACCGCUAUUUUCGAACUUUCCUUUGCUCUAUUCGCUGCACUCCCGAAUGAUAAAUUUAGUAGUGUCGUGAAUAUAGCAGAGGAAGGGCGCAAAACUGCGAAAUAAAUAGUCGUUGCCAGGAAUAACCGGCGCUAUUAUAUUUCAUCGCCUUCUUAAUCACGUCACUACAAUUUGGUUUUUUCGUAUGCUCAUAAUCAACAA
This is a long non-coding RNA of Rhagoletis pomonella (apple maggot), 282 nucleotides long. RefSeq lists it as uncharacterized. The record is from RefSeq and is a predicted model, not a curated record. The transcript has 2 exons. Lineage: Eukaryota; Metazoa; Arthropoda; Insecta; Diptera; Tephritidae.